RNAcentral lists this ribosomal RNA (427 nucleotides) under Thyreocoris scarabaeoides. Its description in RNAcentral is "partial 16S ribosomal RNA". It matches the Rfam family "Archaeal large subunit ribosomal RNA", at positions 1888 to 2555 of the family's 2987-position model. Lineage: Eukaryota; Metazoa; Arthropoda; Insecta; Hemiptera; Thyreocoridae. The record is from RNAcentral.
UCGCCUGUUUAACAAAAACAUGGCCUAUUGUUUAUUUAUUUUAGGUCAGGCCUGCUCAAUGAUUAAUUUUUUAAUUAAAUGGCCGCAGUAUCUUGACUGUGCAAAGGUAGCAUAAUCAUUUGUCUUUUAAUUGUAGGCUUGUAUGAAUGGCUCGAUGAGGUAUAAACUUUCUUUAUAUUAAAUGUUGAAUUUAAUUUUUAAGUUAAAAGGCUUAAAUGUUUUUAGAGGACGAGAAGACCCUAUAGAGUUUUACUCUACAAUCAUUAUUCAAUUUUUGGAUAAUUGUAGUUGAAUAAUGGUUUAGGAGUUUUGUUGGGGCGACAGGGAAAUUUUAUUAACUUUCUUUAUGUAUUAUUUAUUAAUUAGUAUAUUAAAGAUCCUGGAUUAGGAUAAUAAGAUUAAAUUACCUUAGGGAUAACAGCGUAAU